AACUGUCGAUAAUCAUUAAUCCAAUAUAAAUUAGCCCCAUUGUCUUGUUCAAUGACCAGCGAAGUACUAUUUUUAUAAUCAUAACGGAUAAAUCAAAACGUUAAUUCGAUCCGGCCGAUAAAGCACCCUUACAAGUGAACCGCUCCUCUCCCUCUCCCCUUUUUGACUGCACCUCUAAACGAAACCAAAAACCCCAGAAGAAAAAAUAUCCUCAAUUCAAUGCUUCGAAUUUUCUCUGAUUUUGUUUCCUUUUUAGAUCUAUUUCUUACGGCUUUUCCUUUGAUACUUACUGCCCGUAUAUAGUAAAUAAACUGCCUUUAGAUGUUUUUGUUGGAUAAAAGAGAAUUGGGAAAUUCCUGGUUUUAUUAUUCCUUUUUGUUUUUGUCUGAAGGAUCUUUUUAGGGUUUUUAAUAUAUUUGAUAUGGCUACUACAGAAGCGUUAUCUGUGAUUCCUGCUUCUGUUUUGCGUAAUCUCUCUGAUAAGUUGUACGAGAAGCGCAAAAAUGCCGCCCUUGAGUUGGAAGGGAUAGUGAAGCAAUUGGCUGUGGCGGGUGAUCACG
Non-coding RNA from Nicotiana tabacum (common tobacco), 560 nucleotides. Lineage: Eukaryota; Viridiplantae; Streptophyta; Magnoliopsida; Solanales; Solanaceae. The record is from RefSeq and is a predicted model, not a curated record.